UAGCGUAUAUUAAAGUUGUUGCGGUUAAAAAGCUCGUAGUUGGAUUUCUGUUGAGGAUGACUGGUCCGCCUCUUGGGCGUGUAUCUAGUUCAGCCUCGGCAUCCUCUUGAAAUACGUACCGCGCUUGAUUGCGUGGUGCGGAGUUCAAGACUUUUACUUUGAGGAAAUUAGAGUGUUCACGGCAGGCGUUCGCCCUGAAUAUAUUAGCAUGGAAUAAUAAUAUAGGAUCUUGGUUCUAUUUUGUUGGUUUCUAGAGCUAGGAUAAUGAUUAAUAGGGACGGUUGGGGGCAUUCGUAUUAACGCGUC
RNAcentral lists this ribosomal RNA (306 nucleotides) under Amoebophrya sp. Its description in RNAcentral is "SSU rRNA". It matches the Rfam family "Eukaryotic small subunit ribosomal RNA", at positions 595 to 906 of the family's 1831-position model. The record is from RNAcentral. Lineage: Eukaryota; Dinophyceae; Syndiniales; Amoebophryaceae.